CAUUAGCUCAGUUGGUAGAGCAGUGGACUUUUAAUCCAUUUGUCGCUGGUUCGAAUCCAGCAUGAC
RNAcentral lists this transfer RNA (66 nucleotides) under uncultured Catenovulum sp. It matches the Rfam family "tRNA", at positions 5 to 66 of the family's 71-position model. From Rfam's summary of the family: Transfer RNA (tRNA) molecules are approximately 80 nucleotides in length. Their secondary structure includes four short double-helical elements and three loops (D, anti-codon, and T loops). Lineage: Bacteria; Pseudomonadati; Pseudomonadota; Gammaproteobacteria; Alteromonadales; Alteromonadaceae. The record is from RNAcentral.